This 1172-nucleotide ribosomal RNA is filed under the name uncultured organism. RNAcentral describes it as "bacterial SSU rRNA". It matches the Rfam family "Bacterial small subunit ribosomal RNA", at positions 274 to 1461 of the family's 1533-position model. The record is from RNAcentral.
CAACGAUCGGUAGCCGGACUGAGAGGUCGAUCGGCCACAUUGGGACUGAGACACGGCCCAGACUCCUACGGGAGGCAGCAGUGGGGAAUAUUGCGCAAUGGGGGAAACCCUGACGCAGCGACGCCGCGUGAAGGAAGAAGGCUUUCGGGUUGUAAACUUCUUUGAUUGGGGACGAAGAAAGUGACGGUACCCAAAAAACAAGCCACGGCUAACUACGUGCCAGCAGCCGCGGUAAUACGUAGGUGGCGAGCGUUGUCCGGAAUUACUGGGUGUAAAGGGCGUGUAGGCGGGAAGGCAAGUCAGAUGUGAAAUACCAUGGCUCAACUGUGGGGGUGCAUCUGAAACUGUCUUUCUUGAGUGCUGGAGAGGGAAGUGGAAUUCCUAGUGUAGCGGUGAAAUGCGUAGAUAUUAGGAGGAACACCAGUGGCGAAGGCGGCUUCCUGGACAGUAACUGACGCUGAGGCGCGAAAGCGUGGGGAGCGAACAGGAUUAGAUACCCUGGUAGUCCACGCUGUAAACGAUGGAUACUAGGUGUAGGGGGUAUCGACCCCCUCUGUGCCGGAGUUAACACAAUAAGUAUCCCACCUGGGACUACGACCGCAAGGUUGAAACUCAAAGGAAUUGACGGGGGCCCGCACAAGCAGUGGAGUAUGUGGUUUAAUUCGAAGCAACGCGAAGAACCUUACCAGGGCUUGACAUCCCUUGACAGCACUAGAGAUAGUGUUUUCCUUCGGGACAAGGAGACAGGUGGUGCAUGGUUGUCGUCAGCUCGUGUCGUGAGAUGUUGGGUUAAGUCCCGCAACGAGCGCAACCCCUGUUGUUAGUUGCCAGCACGUAGUGGUGGGCACUCUAACGAGACUGCCGGUGACAAAUCGGAGGAAGGUGGGGACGACGUCAAAUCAUCAUGCCCCUUAUGUCCUGGGCUACACACGUACUACAAUGGCUGUUACAGACGGAAGCGAAGGCGCAAGUCGGAGCAAAUCUGAUAAAAACAGUCCCAGUUCGGAUUGAGGGCUGCAACCCGCCCUCAUGAAGUCGGAAUUGCUAGUAAUGGCAGGUCAGCAUACUGCCGUGAAUACGUUCCCGGGCCUUGUACACACCGCCCGUCACACCAUGAGAGUUGCAACACCCGAAGUCAGUAGUUUAACCAGUAAUGGAGAGCGCUGCCGAAG